Molecule: long non-coding RNA, 263 nt
Filed under: Elaeis guineensis (African oil palm)
Lineage: Eukaryota; Viridiplantae; Streptophyta; Magnoliopsida; Arecales; Arecaceae
Description: long non-coding RNA (EGUI_LNC062109)
Source: RNAcentral
CGCUCCACUCUCCGCGGCAGACUCCACGUGGCACGCCCCGGUGAUAGCCACGGGUCCACUCCACUACUCUUCGCAACAAACUCUGCCUGAUCCUGGGUAGCCCACUGCCAGACGGUUACAGAUAUCGCUAUCAGGCUACUGCCCCCUCCGCCUAUAAAAGGGGGCCCCAGAUACGUUAUUCUAUAAGCUCUUAUUUUUUACCUCAAAACUCUGCUAAAUUCUCUGUUCGAGCACUCCAUUCUUGUUGAGGCAGAGAACUGACU